AAUUACAGCCAUACCAUCAUAAAAGUACCAGAUCUCCUCUGGUCCUGGAAGCUUAGCAGGAUUAGGACUGGUUAGUAAUUGGACAAGAGAAUUACCCGAAGUGGCAUAUGCCUGUUUUCC
Molecule: ribosomal RNA, 120 nt
Filed under: Meriones unguiculatus (Mongolian gerbil)
Lineage: Eukaryota; Metazoa; Chordata; Mammalia; Rodentia; Muridae
Source: RNAcentral